Molecule: unclassified non-coding RNA, 246 nt
Filed under: uncultured Phaeosolenia
Lineage: Eukaryota; Fungi; Basidiomycota; Agaricomycetes; Agaricales; Chromocyphellaceae
Description: sequence contains ITS1
Source: RNAcentral
UUGAAUAAUUCUGAUGAGUUGUCGCUGGCCUUUGGGCAUGUGCACGCUUGUCACCUUUAUUUCUCCACCUGUGCACCUCUGUAAACCUGGGAAUAACUUGUCUUGAUUUCGAUCGAGGAUUUGGAGACUGAUGUGGCUCACGCUCGUCUGACUCCUACAUUUCCAGGUCUACGUUUUUUCAUACACACUUUAAAUGUUCAGAAUGUCUAUUUGUUGUGGCCUUUGUUGCCCAUACAAUGUCUUAUA